Bombina bombina (fire-bellied toad) is the source of this 7169-nucleotide RNA transcript. It is a transcript of the gene named formin-like protein 3, with no coding region annotated. Lineage: Eukaryota; Metazoa; Chordata; Amphibia; Anura; Bombinatoridae. The transcript is spliced from 28 exons. The record is from RefSeq and is a predicted model, not a curated record.
UGCUCAGUGUGGGCAGCGAGUACAAAGGAUGGGUUCCCAGGACUUGUUGCUGGACUAACGGGGGCGCGCAAGGGAGGAGGGGGGUACACCCAAAGUUUGGGGAGCGGUGUACUUGAGGGGUCCCAAAAAUGGGGAACGCUGAGAGCGUAGGGGGAACCCCUGGGACCACCCUACUACCCCUAAAAGUCCCUAUGCCGGAGCCUGGAGAGCUAGAGGAGAGAUUCGCGCUGGUUCUGAGUUCUAUGAACCUUCCUCCUGACAAGGCACGGCUUUUACGACAGUAUGACAAUGAAAAGAAAUGGGACCUCAUCUGUGAUCAAGAACGAUUUCAAGUGAAAAAUCCUCCACACACUUAUAUUCAGAAACUGCAGAGUUUUUUAGACCCUGGAGUCACAAGAAAGAAAUUUAGAAGACGAGUUCAGGAAUCCACAAAGGUUCUGCGUGAGCUGGAAAUAUCUCUACGGACAAAUCACAUUGGGUGGGUGCGUGAGUUUUUGAACAAUGAUAACAAAGGGCUGGACGUUUUGGUGGAGUAUCUCUCCUUCGCCCAGUGCGCUGUUAUGUUUGAUUUUGAGGGCCUGGAAAACGGGGAGGAUGGCUUGGUAGAAAAGUCCAAAUCCUGGAGCAGAUCCAUCGAGGAUCUGCAGCAUCCCAACGCCCUGCCUGCCCCUUUCACCAACGGCCUUGCUCGCUCUGCCCGCCAGUCUGUGCUCCGCAGCUACAAUACAUUACCUGGAAAAAAGGCAUUGAAGAACUCUCGGCUGGUCAGCCAGAAGGACGAUGUCCACGUGUGCAUCAUGUGCCUCAGGGCCAUAAUGAACUAUCAGUAUGGCUUCAACCUGGUCAUGUCUCAUCCUCAUGCCGUGAACGAAAUAGCAUUGAGCUUGAAUAACAAGAAUCCAAGGACCAAAGCUUUGGUACUGGAGCUUCUGGCUGCCGUGUGCUUGGUCCGAGGAGGGCAUGAAAUCAUUCUGUCUGCGUUUGAUAACUUUAAAGAGGUGUGCAAGGAGAAGCAUCGCUUUGAGAAGCUCAUGGAGUAUUUUAGGAAUGAAGACAGCAACAUUGACUUCAUGGUUGCCUGCAUGCAGUUCAUUAACAUAGUUGUCCACUCGGUGGAGGACAUGAACUUCCGCGUUCAUCUGCAGUUUGAGUUUACCAAGCUAGGUCUUGAGGACUUCCUGGAGAAGUCUAAGCAUACAGAGAGUGAGAAGCUGCUGGUGCAGAUCCAAGCUUAUCUGGAUAAUGUGUUUGAUGUUGGGGGUUUGUUGGAGGAUGCUGAGACCAAGAAUGCUGCACUUGAGAAAGUGGAGGAGCUGGAGGAACAUUUAUCACAUAUGACUGAAAAGCUACUGGACUUGGAGAAUGAAAAUAUGAUGCGGGUGGCAGAUCUUGAGAAAACGCUACUACAUAGAGAGAAGGAACUGGAAGCCAUAAAGGAAACUUAUGAGAACACAAAUCAUCAGGUGCACACUUUAAGGAAAAUAAUAAAGGAGAAGGAAGAAGCAUUCCAGCAUCUCCGUCAAUUAGAGCAGGCCGGUGCUCUCAAGCUGCAUAAACAAGGCCCUGUAGGAACAAGUCUCCCACCUCUUAUAUUACCUAGUGGAGACAUUUCCCUGGUUCCAGAGAUUCCACAAGUACCUGUUCCUGUUCCACCUCCACCACCUCCACCGCCACCUCCUCCACCACCACCACCUCCUGCGCCAAGUAAGUGCCCUCCACCACCACCACUGCCAUCUUCUUCGCCGUCUGUUAUUCUUACUACAGGCUUAUCAGCAAUUCGAAUUAAAAAGCCAAUUAAAACCAAAUUCCGCUUGCCAGUGUUUAAUUGGACAGCACUGAAACCCAAUCAAAUCAGUGGUACUGUGUUUAGCGACCUUGAUGACGAGAGAAUAUUGCAGGAUCUGGAUAUGGAUAAGUUUGAGGAAUUGUUUAAGACCAAAGCACAAGGAGCAGCUAUGGACCUGGCAUGUCCCAAGAGUAAAACAUCCCAGAAAUCUGUAAGCAAAGUGACGCUAUUGGAGGCAAACAGAGCCAAGAACCUCGCUAUAACACUAAGGAAAGCUGGAAGGACCUCUGAGGAAAUUUGCAAAGCUAUCCAAACGUUUGAUUUGCGGACGCUGCCUGUAGACUUUGUGGAAUGCCUGGUGCGUUUCCUGCCAACAGACGCAGAAGUGAAGAUGUUCCGGCAGUACGAGAGGGAGCGCAAACCGCUAGAUGACCUGACAGAUGAGGACCGAUUCAUGAUGCACUUUAGUAAAGUAGAGCGUCUCUCUCAGAGGAUGUCUAUAAUGACCUUCCUGGGAAACUUCAACGAGAAUCUACAGUUGCUGACACCGCAACUCAAUGCAGUAAUUGCAGCUUCUGCGUCUGUUAAAUCAUCUCCAAAGUUGAAGCAAAUGCUGGAGAUUAUUUUAGCACUUGGAAACUACAUGAACAGCAGCAAAAGAGGAUCAGUCUAUGGCUUCAAACUCCAAAGCUUAGAUCUGCUCCAGGACACUAAGUCAACAGACCGCAAAAUGACACUUUUAAAUUAUAUUGCAAUGAUUGCUAAGGAGAAAUAUCCCGAAGUAGCCAACUUCUGGACCGAGCUUCACUUUGUGGAAAAGGCAGCUGCAGUGUCGCUAGAAAACGUUCUGUUGGAUGUAAAGGAGCUGGGGAAGGGUAUGGAUCUGAUUCGCAAGGAGAGCAGUCAUCACGAUAGCAUCCUAAAGCAUUUUGUGAGCACAAACGAAGGAAAACUCGACAAGUUACAGAAGGAUGCCAGAACUGCAGAGGAAGCGUAUGCAGCUGUAGUGCUUUUCUUUGGAGAAAAUCCAAAGACAACUCCGCCCUCUGUUUUCUUCCCAGUGUUCGCCCGUUUCAUCAAAUCCUACAAGGAAGCAGACCUAGAAAAUGAAAUGCGUAAAAAGCAGGAGGAGGUCCUACGGGAGAAGUUGCUGGCUCAAGAGGCAAAGAAACUGGACCCGAAGGCCCCAGUGCAGAAAAACAAAAGACAACAGCAAGAUCUUAUAGCAGAACUGCGCAGGCGGCAAGCGAAAGAUCAUCGUCCAGUAUACGAGGGAAAAGAUGGAACUAUAGAAGACAUUAUCACAGUCCUGAAGAGUGUCCCCUUCACAGCCAGAACAGCCAAGCGAGGCUCUCGGUUCUUCUGUGAUACAUCCCUCUUUGAGGAUUCAAACUGUUAAGCCCAAAUGCCUUAAAGUAUGAAAGAUUAGUACCCAUGAAGAUUCAUCUCUAUUUUCCCUUAUCUUGCAGAGGAUCUCCGUAGCCAGCCCUUCAGACGGGCAGAUGCUAAGCUCCGUAAUGCCUGGCGGCGGAUAUAAACUCUAUAGCACUCAAGGACAUACCAAGUUGUUUGCUGCCUUCUUCCGUUGCCUCAUGGGGUUGACUUAAUAUUAUGGACUUGAUGGAUAUCUGCACUCCUCCCUUCCCUUCACGUGAUAAGGGAAAUGAAGAAACCAGGAUGCUUUAGAAAAGUGCCUUAAAUGCUACAGUAUUAUAGAACUAUUUUUCUUUUACUAUUUAUAUAUUUUUUUAAAGUUUUAUGGUUAUAUGUGUAAAUAUUUUGUAAUGUUCUUUGUCCAACCAAUACUUACCGACUGCCAUGGGCUACAUUGGUUGAAAAAAAAAAAAAGUGCCUUGUAAGUGUUUUUAAUACAUUUUUUUUUAAUGUAGGUGGAUGGAAUGAACGUGAUAUAAGAUAGAAAUACUGUGCUGUGAAGGGAAUUUGGUGAUACAGGAGUUUAACCCUGUUUUAGUAAUGCAGUAUGCUGGUUUUAAAGAUGUUAUGACCUGGACUUUUGUCAGUCAUUGAUGUCUGCAAGUUGUGCCAAGUUUUGAAACAGUUAAAUAUUUUUAUAUUUUUCCGGCCAUCCUAAGGUGAGACAAACAAGGUAUUUGUAGAUGUUUAUGUAAAGGUAAAGGAUACCGUUUAAAUUUGAGUUGGUUAUGUGUCCUGCAUUGUCAUCACUUGCAGUUAUGGCUUCUCAAAACAUUUGUGCCAGAGUUUGUUUUAAUUUUUUUUUUAGCAACGGAAGGAAACCGUUUGCUGCUUUCUUGCUCUCAGAGUUUUGGUCUCACUACAAUAUACAAGGAACUACUUUGCACACACAUUUUUUUUUGAAGGCCUCAACAUCCUUGGAAAAAUGGUUUUAAAUAUUUUUUUUUUUUUAUUAUUUUUUUUUAAAAUAGUCCUGUCUUGGUAAAGCUGGCUCACUGCUGCAGCUAAGAGCAUAACAGUUAAAACUUUGUUGGUUGACCAGGAAUCUUAGCAGAUAUCAUAUUUCUUAUUGCAAGAAGCUGAGUAAAUGGAUCACUGCAAUUGUAUCAACACUAUAUUUUAAGACCUGGAAUUUUAGAAUGUUGUCCACUGGAAGGAAUAAGCAGAUAGUUCCCAGUUAUAUGGGAGUUAACUACUUGGAAAGUAUCCUUUGAUCUUGUUCAUUAUCACCAAAUUACCUAAAUAAUAGUGGUAUUUUGAAACAUUUUUAAAGAGAUAAUGGGAAACCAUUUGUUAUGUUAUAUGGACAUUGAAUGUCAGAGGGCUGAUAGCAUUAUUUAGCAGGAAACUUUGAAGAAAGAUUGGCAUAACUGUUAACUGUUUUUAGUGCUCCAGUUUAUCAGGGAGUCCAACUGGAAAGCGAUGCCAAGUUGUUGUGUAGAGUGUUGCACCAAUGGCGAUACUGCGGCUAUCAUUAUAUUGCUGUGGUUAUUGCCAUAAUGUUGCCGCAGCAAUGCUGCUGAAGAAUGAAUGUUUCAAGUGAUAUCAAUGCAGUGAUGGUGGGGCAACAUCUAUUAAUCCUUUACAUGCCUGCAAGUACUCUGUGGCAUGCAAGGGAUUAACCCUAACCCCAAUCACAGACCAUCCGCUGCUCCAUUGUGAUCAGCAUUCUCUCAGAUGGGAUAUUGAAAUACUAAUAUUACCAGUAACUUACCUGAACAGUUGUGAGUGUUUUAUCUUUCAGGGGUGAUUAGGGACCAGAGCCUAUGAAACUGUCUAGAAAGUGAUUUUGAAUUGUUAUCCUUUAUGCACCUACAUGGUCUGUACUGUUGACUGCUGCCUGCAGGAAAGCAGAUCUUUUGGUCUGCUAAUGUGUUCUUGUUAAAUUAUUUGCUGAGUUACGUUUUCAUUACUGGAAAUGACCAUGUGCCUAUCAGCAGCCUGGAUUACCAUUUAUUAUGACAAAUGAACGUUACUUGUAAUGGUUUUCGGGUAAUUGAAUCACAUUAGCAUGCACUCUUCAUAGUAAAAAUCCAUCACAUUUUUGGAAGUGUGGGCUUCUUAGUCAUAACUUUAAUAUUGAAGAAAAUACACUUUUAUUUGGGAUUUAACUCCAAGCUGGAACUAACCUGCAAUAUGCAGAGUAUGUAAAUAUUUACCAAGCUGUGCUAAUGUUUAAAGGAAACUGACACUUUGAAUUCUAGAUUAAAUCUGAUUGAGGGAUUGAACUACAUUAACCUGCCAUUAUUGUUAUAUUUAAGUGGAAAUCACCCCCUUUCUUUCUAUGACCUUAUCUGAUGAUUACUGAUAUAGAUUCACAAUGAAUGUCCAGGAAAGUUAAACUCCAGUUCUGCUAUUGGGUCAUUAAUGAUUGAAAAGCUUCACAAAUCAAACAAUCCGCCACAGUGGAUCCCUAGUAAUUGGAUAGACUUGUUUCACUGGAGAGUUCUUUGAAAACUCAGUGAAUUUAAAUCACUGUCUUUGUUUUCCUAUAUUGUAUUGUUGCACUUGAACACUUGUUUUAUCUCAUCCUUCCAGUGGGGAGGGUCACUUUAAAUAGUCAAAGCUCACAUUUCUAUUUUAACCACAGUAAAUCAUCAAUGAGCUCCUAAAAUUAAAGUGGGAAAGUGGUUUUCAUUGUCCUUUGUUAUAAAAUAAUCUAUUUACAGAGACAGUAAAUUCCAAAUUAAACAUUCAUAGCUUACAUCUGUAUCAAAUAAACCUAUGUGGGCUCAUAGGACCUCAGGAGCGUGCACGUGUCUUUAGCACCUUAUUGCAGCUAUUUUAUACAUUGUUGCAAACACCGCUGCUAAAGAAUGUUAACGAUACAUGCAUGUUCCUGAGCCUACCUAGGUUUACGCUUCAAAAAAGGAUACAAAGAGAAUUUAAAUACAUUCGAUCAUAAGCAUGCUUUUUUUUUUUUUUUUUUACUUUACACUUGUUUUAUUUUUCAAAGUGUGUCAUGAUUCUUGUUUAAUAAAUGUUUUUUUUUGUUUUUUUUUACAUUCAAAUAGGGCAGUAUCAUUUUAAGGUUAGCCACCGAUUUCCAGUGAUUUUGCCUUAUUACUAAUGACCUUCCAUAAUGCCUGAAAAAUACUUGUUUUGUGUGACCAAAAUAUAUUCAGAUGAAGCACCUUGCAACCAAUGUGCACUCCAGCAGUGUAAAUACUGCCUUACCAUUUGUUUCUUUAAUUUUUAAAUAAGCCAAUCAAAGCAGUGACAAAUAAUCUUCCAUUUAUGUUGUGCAGCCAGAACUUCACACUAAUCUUCCAAAUCAAUAUAUUACACUACAAAUGCCCAUUCACUCAGGUGAUCUGAGAUUGCAGCAGCAGUUGCCCCUCUUUAUAAUUUAUGUAACAAGUAAUGAUGUGAUCACUUUUGAUACAGAACAGAAAAUAUUUAAUUUCCAGGCUUUUUUAUUGUAUAUUUUAUUGUAUUGUGCUUUAGAUCUAGUUUAAAUAUAUAUUGUCCCAUAGCUGCUGCUGUAAUUUAUGGCAAAUUAACUUAUUGUCCGUUAAACAGUUAUUUCAUCCUGACAUUUAGGAGGGUCACUGUGCAGUUCCUACUUGCACUUGCGGAAUCAUGUGACUUUUCCAUUUAACUAUUGAUUUUUAUCGACCAAUUAACAUGUAACCAUUCCAUUGUAUUACUUAUGUAUGGAGCUGUAACUUUUGUGCAUGUAAAAUACAUUCCUUCCCUCCUACAAUGCCAGGGAACAGCGUGCUGCAGUGCAUAUCACCCGUAAGCUCAGCAUGGUGAUAUUCUUCCCUGGUCUUGUAGGAGGCAGCAGUGCCUUUACCAAUGUAUUAAUCCUGUACAGUAUGUUAUUUCUACUAUAAAAAGCCAGUAUUUGUUUCCUACAGGUCAUUUUUACUUGCCUAAUUGUCAGGUUUCUAAUUGUGCUCUCUGUUCAUGCUUUUUGUCAACAAUAAACCUGGAGAGAGCUUAA